Molecule: ribosomal RNA, 439 nt
Filed under: uncultured bacterium
Lineage: Bacteria
Description: partial 16S ribosomal RNA
Rfam family: Bacterial small subunit ribosomal RNA
Source: RNAcentral
CUACGGGAGGCUGCAGUGGGGAAUAUUGGACAAUGGGCGAAAGCCUGAUCCAGCAAUACCGCGUGAAUGAUGAAGGCCUUAGGGUUGUAAAGUUCUUUUAGUUGGAAAGAUAAUGGCGGUACCAACAGAAAAAGCCCCGGCUAACUCCGUGCCAGCAGCCGCGGUAAGACGGAGGGGGCUAGCGUUGUUCGGAAUUACUGGGCGUAAAGGGCGCGUAGGCGGAUUAGUAAGUUGGGAGUGAAAGCCCGGGGCUUAACCUCGGAACUGCUUUCAAAACUGCUAGUCUUGAGUGAAGUAGGGGAUGAUGGAAUUCCUAGUGUAGAGGUGAAAUUCUUAGAUAUUAGGAGGAACACCGGUGGCGAAGGCGGUCAUCUGGACUUCAACUGACGCUGAGGCGCGAAAGCGUGGGGAGCAAACAGGAUUAGAUACCCUCGUAGUC